Molecule: ribosomal RNA, 1279 nt
Filed under: Rhizophagus dispar
Lineage: Eukaryota; Metazoa; Arthropoda; Insecta; Coleoptera; Monotomidae
Description: 16S ribosomal RNA
Rfam family: Archaeal large subunit ribosomal RNA (bases 1040-1199)
Source: RNAcentral
UAAAAAAGAUUAUUAAAAUUUUUAUUUAAAUUUUAUUUAAAAUAAAAAAAUUAUAUUUUAUUAUAAGGUAAGAAAAAAGUUAAAUUAUGAUAGUUUAUUAGUAUUGUGAAAGAAAUUUAAUUUAUGUAUAAAAGAAAAAAUAAUAUUUUGUACCUUGUGUCUCAGGGUUUAUUAAAUAAAAUUUAAAACUUUAAUUUUCUCGAAUUUAAAAGAGUUAAUAGUAUAUAAAUUUUAUUGUAAAAUAAAUAUUUAUAAUAUAUUAUUAGUAAUGAAACGUUAAUCGUUUUUAAAUAUAUCUAGUUUUUAAAGAAAAAAAUUUAAUUUUUUUAUUAAUUUUUAUAAUAUUAUUUAUUUAAUAUUAUUAUAUUAAUAUAUUAAAUUUAAAGGGAUAAGCUUUUAAAUUGAUAUUAAAAUUUUAUAAAAAUAGUUUAAAUUGUAGGAUUAGAAAUUUUUAUCAUUAAUAAAAUGUUAUAAUUGAUUAAAUUAAAUUUUAUUAUUUAUAUAAAGUUUAAGUAUUUAUUUAAAUAUUGAUUGAAAUUUUUAAAGUUAAGAAAUAAUGAUAAAAUUAGUAUAAUUUUUUUUAUAUUUAAUGAAUUAAUUAAAGGUUUAGUAAAGGAAUUCGGCAAAUUAAUUUUUCACCUGUUUAUUAAAAACAUGGCUUAUUGAUAAUAAUUUUAGGUCUAACCUGCCCACUGAAGUUUUAAAUGGCCGCGGUAUUUUGACCGUGCAAAGGUAGCAUAAUCAUUAGUUUUUUAAUUGAAAGCUGGAAUGAAGGGUUGAAUGAGAAAAUUACUGUCUCUAUUAAAAUUUAUUUGAAUUUUAUAUUUAAGUGAAAAAGCUUAAAUUUUAUUUAAAGACGAGAAGACCCUAUAGAGUUUAAUAAAUUAAUUUUUAUUUUUUUUAUAGAAUUAAUAUUAUAUAGAAUAUAAUUUAUUUGGUUGGGGUGAUUUAAAAAUUUAUAUAACUUUUUAUAUUUAAAAUCAUUGAUUUAUGAUAAAAUGAUCCAUUUUUUAUGAUUAAAAGAAUAAAUUACCUUAGGGAUAACAGCGUUAUUUUUUUUGAGAGUUCAAAUCGAAAAAAAAGAUUGCGACCUCGAUGUUGGAUUAAAAUUAAUUUAUGGUGUAGAUGCUAUAAAUUUUAAGUCUGUUCGACUUUUAAAAUUUUACAUGAUCUGAGUUUAAACCGGUGUGAGCCAGGUUGGUUUCUAUCUUAAAUAGAAAAAUAUAUUUUAGUACGAAAGGACCAAAUAUUUGAUAAACUAUUUUAAUUUUGAAUAUUA